This 484-nucleotide ribosomal RNA is filed under the name uncultured bacterium. Its description in RNAcentral is "partial 16S ribosomal RNA". It matches the Rfam family "Bacterial small subunit ribosomal RNA", at positions 30 to 507 of the family's 1533-position model. The record is from RNAcentral.
AUUGAACGCUGGCGGCAGGCCUAACACAUGCCAGUCGAGCGGAUGAAGGGAGCUUGCUCCUGGAUUCAGCGGCGGACGGGUGAGUAAUGCCUAGGAAUCUGCCUGGUAGUGGGGGAUAACGUCCGGAAACGGGCGCUAAUACCGCAUACGUUCUGAGGGAGAAAGUGGGGGAUCUUCGGACCUCACGCUAUCAGAUGAGCCUAGGUCGGAUUAGCUAGUUGGUGGGGUAAAGGCCUACCAAGGCGACGAUCCGUAACUGGUCUGAGAGGAUGAUCAGUCACACUGGAACUGAGACACGGUCCAGAUUCCUACGGGAGGCAGCAGUGGGGAAUAUUGGACAAUGGGCGAAAGCCUGAUCCAGCCAUGCCGCGUGUGUGAAGAAGGUCUUCGGAUUGUAAAACACUUUAAGUUGGGAGGAAGGGCAGUAAGUUAAUACCUUGCUGUGUUGACGUUACCAACAGAAUAAGCACCGGCUAACUUCGUG